UACGUAGGGUGCAAGCGUUGUCCGGAAUUAUUGGGCGUAAAGAGUUCGUAGGCGGCUUGUCGCGUCGGCUGUGAAAACCUGGGGCUCAACCCCGGGCCUGCAGCCGAUACGGGCAAGCUAGAGUUCGGUAGGGGAGACUGGAAUUCCUGGUGUAGCGGUGAAAUGCGCAGAUAUCAGGAGGAACACCGGUGGCGAAGGCGGGUCUCUGGGCCGAAACUGACGCUGAGGAGCGAAAGCGUGGGGAGCGAACAGG
Molecule: ribosomal RNA, 253 nt
Filed under: uncultured bacterium
Lineage: Bacteria
Description: partial 16S ribosomal RNA
Rfam family: Bacterial small subunit ribosomal RNA
Source: RNAcentral